Molecule: ribosomal RNA, 564 nt
Filed under: uncultured Glomus
Lineage: Eukaryota; Fungi; Glomeromycota; Glomeromycetes; Glomerales; Glomeraceae
Description: SSU rRNA
Rfam family: Eukaryotic small subunit ribosomal RNA
Source: RNAcentral
UUGGAGGGCAAGUCUGGUGCCAGCAGCCGCGGUAAUUCCAGCUCCAAUAGCGUAUAUUAAAGUUGUUGCAGUUAAAAAGCUCGUAGUUGAAUUUCGGGACCAAUUUGUUGGUCGUGCCUCGGUACGUACUGGUAUUAUUGGUUUCUCCCUUCUGAAGAACCUUGAUGUCAUUAAUUUGGUGUCUUGGGGAAUCAGGACUGUUACUUUGAAAAAAUUAGAGUGUUUAAAGCAGGCAUACGCUUGAAUACAUUAGCAUGGAAUAAUGAAAUAGGACGUUUGAUUCUAUUUUGUUGGUUUCUAGGAUCGACGUAAUGAUUAAUAGGGAUAGUUGGGGGCAUUAGUAUUCAAUUGUCAGAGGUGAAAUUCUUGGAUUUAUUGAAGACUAACUACUGCGAAAGCAUUUGCCAUGGAUGUUUUCAUUAAUCAAGAACGAAAGUUAGGGGAUCGGAGACGAUCAGAUACCGUCGUAGUCUUAACCAUAAACUAUGCCGACUAGGGAUCGGAUGAUGUUAAUUUUUUAAUGACCCAUUCGGCGCCUUACGGGAAACCAAAGUGUUUGGGUUC